This 480-nucleotide ribosomal RNA is filed under the name uncultured bacterium. RNAcentral's name for it is "partial 16S ribosomal RNA". It matches the Rfam family "Bacterial small subunit ribosomal RNA", at positions 28 to 507 of the family's 1533-position model. The record is from RNAcentral.
GACGAACGCUGGCGGCGCGCUUAACACAUGCAAGUCGAACGGAAAGGCCUGCCUUCCCUUGUGUACUGCGGUUACUCGAGUGGCGAACGGGUGAGUAACACGUGAGUGAUCCGCUCCCAACUCGUGAAUAAGCUGGGGAAACUGGGUCUAAUUCCCGCUAGGACCGCAGGGUGGUGCCUGUGGUUGCAAACGAUUUUCUGGUGGUUGGGGCUGAACUCGCGGCUGAUAAGCUUGUGGGUGGGGUAGUGGUCUACCAAGGCUGCGACGGGUAGCCGGCCGGGGAGGGUGACCGGCCACAUUGGGACGGAGAUACGGCCCAGACUCCUACGGGAGGCAGCAGUGGGGAAUAUUGCACAAUGGGCGGAAGCCUGAUGCAGCAACGCCGCGUGCGGGAGGACGGCCUUCGGGUUGUAAACCGAUUUCGCCUGUGAUGAAGCGUGAGUGACGGUAAUGGGUAAAGAAGCACCGGCUAACUACGUG